GUUCGGGCUUGAUGUCAUGAUGGAUUAUAUUCUUCUCUUCCAGAUGGUUAAGGCCCUGAGAAAUCAAGAAAGCAAAAUCCUCCAUGUUUUGAUGAGGCCUUAUGAUAAAAGGCCCCAUAGAAGUCGACGAUAUUCCGGUGGCCAGAUACAAUUUGCAGGAUUUCGACUUCUUUCUUGAUCUCCUGUUGCUUCUAGUUUCAAACAAAAGAAACAAGGACUAUGUAUAGUGAAGCCUGGAUCUUUGCUUUAGUCUGCA
This is a long non-coding RNA of Xenopus tropicalis (tropical clawed frog), 256 nucleotides long. RefSeq lists it as uncharacterized. The record is from RefSeq and is a predicted model, not a curated record. The transcript is spliced from 3 exons. Lineage: Eukaryota; Metazoa; Chordata; Amphibia; Anura; Pipidae.